AGUGACAUGUAUCUCAGCCCUGU
RNAcentral lists this non-coding RNA (23 nucleotides) under Cricetulus griseus (Chinese hamster). Lineage: Eukaryota; Metazoa; Chordata; Mammalia; Rodentia; Cricetidae. The record is from RNAcentral.